This 81-nucleotide transfer RNA is filed under the name Rubrobacter sp. RNAcentral describes it as "tRNA-Leu". It matches the Rfam family "tRNA". Rfam says of the family: Transfer RNA (tRNA) molecules are approximately 80 nucleotides in length. Their secondary structure includes four short double-helical elements and three loops (D, anti-codon, and T loops). The record is from RNAcentral. RNAcentral also lists the same sequence under 2 other names. Lineage: Bacteria; Bacillati; Actinomycetota; Rubrobacteria; Rubrobacterales; Rubrobacteraceae.
GCGAGAGUGGUGGAACGGGAGACACGCUAGAUUUAGGAUCUAGUGCCUUCGGGCGUGCGGGUUCGAAUCCCGCCUCUCGCA